Long non-coding RNA from Prunus avium (sweet cherry), 430 nucleotides. RefSeq lists it as uncharacterized. Lineage: Eukaryota; Viridiplantae; Streptophyta; Magnoliopsida; Rosales; Rosaceae. The record is from RefSeq and is a predicted model, not a curated record.
CAGAAUUGCAACAUUCAAGCAGUGUUGAUUCAAUAUGUGUUCCUACUACGAAAGUUGUUCCAACACCUCUAUCAGAAUUUUCACAGGAACUUGUUGCUGUCAAUAAUUUAAGCAUGGAAUUUCCAGUUAGCAUGGUCAACUUGUUGCAGGCACAAUCACCAUUGGAAGGAGAAUGUGGGUUGUUUAGCUCUCAAUUCACAAGUGCCGGGGCCAAGAGUUAUAAUGUUGAAGUAGAUCCACCUUUUUCAAUUGACAAGAGUCACCAAGCGUCAUAAUGUUGAAUUUGGGUUGUUCAGCUCUCAAUUAACAAGGGUUCCAUAAUUUGUUACAACUCUGUUUUGAUUUAGAACGUUUGUUAUGUUUGUCCUGUCUUGGUAUUUGAACUUAUUCUGAUAUUUGGCAUCUCUGCCCUCCUAUGGUGUUGAAGUAU